This is a long non-coding RNA of Saccostrea cuccullata (small rock oyster), 412 nucleotides long. RefSeq lists it as uncharacterized. Lineage: Eukaryota; Metazoa; Mollusca; Bivalvia; Ostreida; Ostreidae. The record is from RefSeq and is a predicted model, not a curated record. The transcript has 3 exons.
GGUUAUUCUUCUGAGCGUGCAGUGCUCACAUUGGAUCGAUCCAGACGAAAAUGAAAAUGUGUUCACAUACCUCUACGAAACAGUUACAAAAAGAAACUAUACACAUGGAGAAGGAAUCAUUGUCAAUUUUCUGUAUGAAGGAAGUGAGAGUCGCAUCUUAGAUGUCCCUGUACAGCCGGGGGAUCCAGGUUUUAAUCACACAGUUACUGUCCGAGUUCGGAUUUUUGACAUCUAUGGGGAUUAUGGAACGUAUUCCUCAAAUAUUACAGUCAUUCCACCUUCUAACUUUGAACCUGAAGAUUUAAAAGACAUUUCAACAAUUGAGUCCUCGUUUAAUAACUUUGAUUCAAAGUUCAACAACUACAAUCUGUCAGGAAAUGACCUUCAAACCUUGAGUUUUUUAGGAGCCGUU